This 253-nucleotide ribosomal RNA is filed under the name uncultured bacterium. Its description in RNAcentral is "partial 16S ribosomal RNA". It matches the Rfam family "Bacterial small subunit ribosomal RNA", at positions 524 to 776 of the family's 1533-position model. The record is from RNAcentral.
UACAGAGGUCCCGAGCGUUGUUCGGAUUCAUUGGGCGUAAAGGGUGCGUAGGCGGCGGGGCAAGUCUGAUGUGAAAUCCCGGGGCUCAACCCCGGAACUGCAUUGGAUACUGCCUUGCUAGAGUACUGGAGAGGAGAUUGGAAUUUACGGUGUAGCAGUGAAAUGCGUAGAUAUCGUAAGGAAGACCAGUGGCGAAGGCGAAUCUCUGGACAGUUACUGACACUGAGGCACGAAGGCCAGGGGAGCAAACGGG